This is a long non-coding RNA of Hibiscus syriacus, 886 nucleotides long. RefSeq lists it as uncharacterized. Lineage: Eukaryota; Viridiplantae; Streptophyta; Magnoliopsida; Malvales; Malvaceae. The record is from RefSeq and is a predicted model, not a curated record. The transcript is spliced from 4 exons.
GUCUAAUCCCUGUCUGUGUGGAAAUAGAACUGUCCAUCACCAAGAAGAAGAAGAUGGCGAUGAAAUCUGGUCUACCAGCCCAGUUUGUUCACCGAGAAAAUCAAAAAGAAAAAAGGACACCAAGAAUCCCUAUUCAACAAGGGGACUCGACCAGUUCACCGCACUUUUAGCAGAACUCGAAGAAAAAAGGCGAAAAAUUUACUCAAAAAAGUGGAUCCCAAAGCUUAGUCCGAUUCGUUUACAACAACUCAAACGAUUGUGUCCCGGUCGUGAUAAAUCUGAGAGACAAGAACGAAGACAAAACCAAACCAGGAAACACCAAAGAAAGGUAUGUUCCUGAAGCCAUUAACAAGCUUCAAACCCCAUCAGAACCCGACACGGAAGUGAUCAAGAUGAAGGUGGAGAAGAAGAAGAGCUUUUCAUGGAGUGCCGUGGAGUUCCAGAAUCUGAGAAAGCCAUCUUAUUUCAUCCCAGGAAUCAUAAUCCUAAUUUUGUUGCUUUUGAUGUUGUUUGGAAGAUCGGCUGCGGUAUUAUGUACUUGUGUUGGAUGGUACGUAGUUCCCACAAUCAACGGGGAAGGAUCAAAUUUAAGAACAUCGAUGAAGAAGAAAGAUUGAGUGGGAAUAAAUUAUCUUAUCCAAAGCGUGAUUAACCCACACCACUGAAUCUGUGUUUCUGUGUCGUGCAAUUUCCAUUUUUGUUGUGUGUUGGUUAUUUGUUGAUGUAAAUAGAUUUGUAAUAUAUGGGUCUUGGGUUGUAAAUUGUAAUGGUUUUGAUGCCACUAUGCACACCCUUCAUAGACAAAGGUGAUUACAUGCUUUGAGCGGGCGGGCAUAAUCUCCAAACAAUUAUACAUGUAUCGAACCAUAUUGGUGGACUUGAAUGC